AAAUGAAUAGACGGGCACCCGCACAAGCGGUGGAGCAUGCUGUUUAAUUCGAAGAUACGCGAAGAACCUUACCUGGGCUUGACAUCCCGGUGAAAGCUUUUGGAAACAAGAGCCCUCCUUUCGGGGACACCGGUGACAGGUGGUGCAUGGUUGUCGUCAGCUCGUGUCGUGAGAUGUUGGGUUAAGUCCCACAACGAGCGCAACCCUUAUCCUUAAUUGCUAACAUUUAGUUGAGAACCUUAAGGAGACUGCCGAUGAUAAAUCGGAGGAAGGUGGGGAUGACGUCAAAUCAUCAUGCCCCUUACGUCCAGGGCUACAGGCGUGCUAUAAUGGCCAAUAUAAAAAGAUGCAAACUCGUGAGAGCAAGCAAAUCUCAAAAGUUGGUCUCAGUCCGGAUUGAAGUCUGCAACUCGACUUCAUGAAGUUAGAAUCGCUAGUAAUCGUGAAUCAGAAUGUCACGGUGAAUACGUUCCCGGGUGUUGUACACACCGCCCGU
RNAcentral lists this ribosomal RNA (496 nucleotides) under uncultured bacterium. RNAcentral's name for it is "bacterial SSU rRNA". It matches the Rfam family "Bacterial small subunit ribosomal RNA", at positions 903 to 1397 of the family's 1533-position model. The record is from RNAcentral.